Molecule: non-coding RNA, 30 nt
Filed under: Cricetulus griseus (Chinese hamster)
Lineage: Eukaryota; Metazoa; Chordata; Mammalia; Rodentia; Cricetidae
Source: RNAcentral
AAGGAGGAGGAGCUCAAAGUGGCCCAGACG